RNAcentral lists this ribosomal RNA (867 nucleotides) under uncultured Bacillota bacterium. RNAcentral's name for it is "bacterial SSU rRNA". It matches the Rfam family "Bacterial small subunit ribosomal RNA", at positions 58 to 958 of the family's 1533-position model. Lineage: Bacteria; Bacillati; Bacillota. The record is from RNAcentral.
CAAGUCGCACGAGAAAGUGGAGCAAUCCAUGAGUACAGUGGCGUACGGGUGAGUAACACGUGGGUAAUCUACCUCUUAGUGGGGAAUAACCCUGGGAAACCGGGGCUAAUACCGCAUAAGCUCGAGAGAGGAAAGCAGCAAUGCGCUGAGAGAGGAGCCCGCGGCCGAUUAGCUUGUUGGCAGGGUAAAGGCCUACCAAGGCAUAGAUCGGUAGCCGGCCUGAGAGGGCACACGGCCACACUGGCACUGAAACACGGGCCAGACUCCUACGGGAGGCAGCAGUGGGGAAUCUUGCACAAUGGGGGCAACCCUGAUGCAGCGACGCCGCGUGAGCGAUGAAGCCCUUCGGGGUGUAAAGCUCUUUCGUCAGGGAAGAUUAUGACGGUACCUGGAGAAGCAGCUGCGGCUAACUACGUGCCAGCAGCCGCGGUAAUACGUAGGCAGCGAGCGUUGUUCGGAGUUACUGGGCGUAAAGGGUGUGUAGGCGGUUGUUUAAGUUUGGUGUGAAAUCUCCCGGCUCAACUGGGAGGGUGCGCCGAAUACUGAAUGACUCGAGUGCGGGAGAGGAGAGUGGAAUUCCUGGUGUAGCGGUGAAAUGCGUAGAUAUCAGGAGGAACACCGGCGGUGUAGACGGCUCUCUGGACCGUAACUGACGCUGAGACACGAAAGCGUGGGUAGCAAACAGGAUUAGAUACCCUGGUAGUCCACGCCCUAAACGAUGCAUAUUUGGUGUGGGUCAUUCAGUUGAUCCGUGCCGGAGCUAACGCGUUAAAUAUGCCGCCUGGGGAGUACAGUCGCAAGGCUGAAACUCAAAGGAAUUGACGGGGGCCCGCACAAGCGGUGGAGCAUGUGGUUCAAUUCGACGCA